Mycena alexandri is the source of this 99-nucleotide non-coding RNA. The record is from the annotation of a GenBank genome assembly. Lineage: Eukaryota; Fungi; Basidiomycota; Agaricomycetes; Agaricales; Mycenaceae.
GGCCUGGUGGCGUAACUGGUAACGCGCGCAUUUACUGUACGCUAUGGCGACACGUAAUCAGUUGAAUGCGAAACCCUCGUUCGAAUCGAGGUCAGGCCG